RNAcentral lists this ribosomal RNA (253 nucleotides) under uncultured bacterium. RNAcentral describes it as "partial 16S ribosomal RNA". It matches the Rfam family "Bacterial small subunit ribosomal RNA", at positions 524 to 776 of the family's 1533-position model. The record is from RNAcentral.
GACGUAGGGCGCGAGCGUUGUCCGGAUUUAUUGGGCGUAAAGAGCUCGUAGGCGGCUUGUUGCGUCAGCUGUGAAAACCCGCAGCUCAACUGUGGGCUUGCAGCUGAUACGGGCAGGCUUGAGUUCGGUAGGGGAGACUGGAAUUCCUGGUGUAGCGGUGGAAUGCGUAGAGAUCGGGAAGAACACCAGUGGCGAAGGCGACGUGCUGGGUUGCACCUGACGCUGAGAUGCGAAAGUGUGGGGAGCAAACGGG